Molecule: ribosomal RNA, 540 nt
Filed under: Fusarium sp. 4 IDEA_FITOPAT_D017
Lineage: Eukaryota; Fungi; Ascomycota; Sordariomycetes; Hypocreales; Nectriaceae
Description: eukaryotic LSU rRNA
Rfam family: 5.8S ribosomal RNA (bases 181-334)
Source: RNAcentral
UUCCGUAGGUGAACCUGCGGAGGGAUCAUUACCGAGUUUACAACUCCCGAACCCCUGUGAACAUACCUAUACGUUGCCUCGGCGGAUCAGCCCGCGCCCCGUAAAAAGGGACGGCCCGCCCGAGGACCCCUAAACUCUGUUUUUAGUGGAACUUCUGAGUAAAACAAACAAAUAAAUCAAAACUUUCAACAACGGAUCUCUUGGUUCUGGCAUCGAUGAAGAACGCAGCAAAAUGCGAUAAGUAAUGUGAAUUGCAGAAUUCAGUGAAUCAUCGAAUCUUUGAACGCACAUUGCGCCCGCCAGUAUUCUGGCGGGCAUGCCUGUUCGAGCGUCAUUUCAACCCUCAAGCUCAGCUUGGUGUUGGGACUCGCGGUAACCCGCGUUCCCCAAAUCGAUUGGCGGUCACGUCGAGCUUCCAUAGCGUAGUAAUCAUACACCUCGUUACUGGUAAUCGUCGCGGCCACGCCGUAAAACCCCAACUUCUGAAUGUUGACCUCGGAUCAGGUAGGAAUACCCGCUGAACUUAAGCAUAUCAAUAAG